Molecule: long non-coding RNA, 270 nt
Organism: Cyprinus carpio carpio
Lineage: Eukaryota; Metazoa; Chordata; Actinopteri; Cypriniformes; Cyprinidae
Source: Ensembl
CUGCAGCCCAGCACUGAGUACAAGCUCUUCUUGACUGUAUUCAACAGCGCUCACAACAUUACAAGUCCUGAGGUCAGUUGCACUACUACAGAUGGAGGAACAAAAAGGCCAGGUCUUGUCUCUUUUAGGAUCUUGUUUUCUGCAACAAUGCAAAGACUACUGCAGACUUGAGGACCUCGAGCCUACCCUGAGCCUCGUCUUGUGCAGAGGUUAAAGAGACAAAUCUUGAGGAUUGAGCUCUUCAAAAGCACUGGGGUUACAUCACACAGU